This 864-nucleotide long non-coding RNA is filed under the name Pan troglodytes (chimpanzee). RNAcentral describes it as "long non-coding RNA NONPTRT015499". Lineage: Eukaryota; Metazoa; Chordata; Mammalia; Primates; Hominidae. The record is from RNAcentral.
UUCUUCAGUUCAGACACAUGGUUUUAGUGAAUAGAAGUCACUCUACCAAAACCGGGUACUCUUCAAACAUGCCUUGCUCCGUAUGCAGGCAGGCAACUGCACCCCUGCUUCCUGAGCCACCUGGGACUUGAAGUUCUACCAGUGUGGCUCCAAAGCUGCCCAACUAGAAACCCCAAAAGGCAAGAGAACUACGAUACCCACAAUUCAGGCUCCUCACCCGAAACCAGAAGAGGGCGUAUGGCUAGAGUUUCACCCUAAGAAGAAAGGGGAAGCAGGUGGAAAAGCAAUUAAAAAAAAAUCAGGGAAGGGAAUUCUUUCCACAGUUGCUAGUUCCUCACACCUCUGCCUCUAUGGGAUUCUCCUGGUCCCCACAUGCUCUGCUGUGUCUUCUAGCUGUCAGCCACUGUGGAGGAAGUGAACCUUCUAGAUCCUGCUGACUCAUACAAUGAGUUUUGUGUGGACCAUCAGACAAAAGGGCUGACUGGUGAAGGUGGCUGUUGUCUGGAAAGUCCUCCCAGCUCUCCUCUAAUUAUGUCAUAAGGACUGGAGGCCCCUUAGCCUGCUUGUGAUAACACGCAAGGAAAUACGGGCCAACUCUUCACAUGAGCACAAGAUAUUUCCAUGCUAGCCUUUUGCAAGUAACAACAGAGAGAGCUCUGUGCAGUUUUCACUGGAAUGCCUAUGGAUUGCUUGUGUCAUAACUGUAAUCUAAAGAGUUGUCCAUUUGUUGAUUCCUUUGUGUUUGUAUUGGUAGAAUUGCCACUAUCAAACCAAGAUCUUUAGCUGUCUUUGUAUCAACUUCUUUGGAGCUUAUGUGAUUUUCCAGAAAAUUUCCAAGGCAUAGUUUUGUCCCUAAGUCCCAUG